RNAcentral lists this small RNA (62 nucleotides) under Salix viminalis (osier). Lineage: Eukaryota; Viridiplantae; Streptophyta; Magnoliopsida; Malpighiales; Salicaceae. The record is from RNAcentral.
CUUGCAAUGAUGUUAAUAGAACAUGACAAGAGUUUUAAGAGUGCAGAAUUAACCUGUGCAAG